CCUACGGGAGGCAGCAGUAGGGAAUAUUGCUCAAUGGGGGAAACCCUGAAGCAGCAACGCCGCGUGGAGGAUGAAGGUUUUCGGAUUGUUAACCUCUUUUGUUAGAGAAGAUAAUGCAGGUAUCUAACGAAUAAGCACCGGCCAACUCCGUGCCAGCAGCCGCGGUAAUACGGCGGGUGCAAGCGUUACUCGGAAUCACUGGGCGUAAAGAGCGCGUAGGCGGGUUAGCAAGUCAGAGGUGAAAUCCUAUGGCUUAACCAUAGAACUGCAUUUGAAACUGGUAUUCUAGAGUAUGGGAGAGGUAGGUGGAAUUCUUGGUGUAGGGGUAAAAUCCGUAGAGAUCAAGAGGAAUACUCAUUGCGAAGGCGACCUGCUAGAACAUAACUGACGCUGAUGCGCGAAAGCGUGGGGAGCAAACAGGAUUAGAUACCCGAGUAGUC
This 440-nucleotide ribosomal RNA is filed under the name uncultured bacterium. Its description in RNAcentral is "partial 16S ribosomal RNA". It matches the Rfam family "Bacterial small subunit ribosomal RNA", at positions 338 to 795 of the family's 1533-position model. The record is from RNAcentral.